Molecule: ribosomal RNA, 468 nt
Filed under: uncultured bacterium
Lineage: Bacteria
Description: partial 16S ribosomal RNA
Rfam family: Bacterial small subunit ribosomal RNA
Source: RNAcentral
GACGAACGCUGGCGGCGUGCUUAACACAUGCAAGUCGAACGGAAAGGCCCUGCUUUUGUGGGGUGCUCGAGUGGCGAACGAGUGAGUAACACGUGAGUAACCUGCCCUUGACUUUGGGAUAACUUCAGGAAACUGGGGCUAAUACCGGAUAGGAGCUCCUGCUGCAUGGUGGGGGUUGGAAAGUUUCGGCGGUUGGGGAUGGACUCGCGGCUUAUCAGCUUGUUGGUGGGGUAGUGGCUUACCAAGGCUUUGACGGGUAGCCGGCCUGAGAGGGUGACCGGCCACAUUGGGACUGAGGUACGGCCCAGACUCCUACGGGAGGCAGCAGUGGGGAAUAUUGCACAAUGGGCGGAAGCCUGAUGCAGCAACGCCGCGUGCGGGAUGACGGCCUUCGGGUUGUAAACCGCUUUCGCCUGUGACGAAGCGUGAGUGACGGUAAUGGGUAAAGAAGCACCGGCUAACUACGUG